AAAUUGAAGAGUUUGAUCAUGGCUCAGAUUGAACGCUGGCGGCAGGCCUAACACAUGCAAGUCGAACGGUAACAGGAAGCAGCUUGCUGCUUCGCUGACGAGUGGCGGACGGGUGAGUAAUGUCUGGGAAACUGCCUGAUGGAGGGGGAUAACUACUGGAAACGGUGGCUAAUACCGCAUAACGUCGCAAGACCAAAGAGGGGGACCUUCGGGCCUCUUGCCAUCAGAUGUGCCCAGAUGGGAUUAGCUUGUUGGUGAGGUAACGGCUCACCAAGGCGACGAUCCCUAGCUGGUCUGAGAGGAUGAUCAGCCACACUGGAACUGAGACACGGUCCAGACUCCUACGGGAGGCAGCAGUGGGGAAUAUUGCACAAUGGGCGCAAGCCUGAUGCAGCCAUGCCGCGUGUAUGAAGAAGGCCUUCGGGUUGUAAAGUACUUUCAGCGGGGAGGAAGGUGUUGUGGUUAAUAACC
This 471-nucleotide ribosomal RNA is filed under the name Salmonella enterica. RNAcentral describes it as "bacterial SSU rRNA". It matches the Rfam family "Bacterial small subunit ribosomal RNA", at positions 1 to 468 of the family's 1533-position model. Lineage: Bacteria; Pseudomonadati; Pseudomonadota; Gammaproteobacteria; Enterobacterales; Enterobacteriaceae. The record is from RNAcentral.